This 546-nucleotide small RNA is filed under the name human gut metagenome. The record is from RNAcentral.
UAUUAUGGCACGUUAUUCUAGUCCAAGGACUUAUUAGGAAGACGGGAUUAAACAACCGUUAAGAGCAUAUCUGUGAAACCUUUGGUGUUUGCUUCUUGCGCCCAGCUUGGGGUGAGUGCUGAAGAUGAAAAGGUACUGGGCGACCGUAAUGGCAUACGGCACCCGACCCAUUGCCUGCUUGGAGACCUAGCCUUGUGAUUGGCCUAUACGGACAAUCCUGAUGGACCAGUUACGAACUAGGAUAGAACCUGUAUUGUGGCGAAAGUUAUGUGCAGUGUAGCUUGUCUUGAGUGAAGAUUUUGGGAUUAAUGUAAAUUAUGAAAUAGUCUUUGCAAAAAAGAACUAAUAAUAAGAAAUUGGUGAGGAAAUCUCCUAGAGCGAUAUAGCAUGGGAUUGCAGUGGAUACUAAGUGGCAAUCAAGUCAUACAAAUGGUGACAUUGUAUUAAUUCUUAUAAUGGGGAACCGCAUUUUUGGUAACGAAAGUGCAAGAAUUAGAGAAAUUCUACUUGACCUAAGAUUCAAAGUUUACCAUGCUAUGGCCAAAA